UACGUAGGGUGCGAGCGUUGUCCGGAAUUAUUGGGCGUAAAGAGCUCGUAGGCGGCCUGUCGCGUCAAUUGUGAAAGCCCGGGGCUCAACCCCGGGUCUGCAGUCGAUACGGGCAGGCUAGAGUUCGGUAGGGGAGAUCGGAAUUCCUGGUGUAGCGGUGAAAUGCGCAGAUAUCAGGAGGAACACCGGUGGCGAAGGCGGAUCUCUGGGCCGACACUGACGCUGAGGAGCGAAAGCGUGGGGAGCGAACAGG
This 253-nucleotide ribosomal RNA is filed under the name uncultured bacterium. RNAcentral describes it as "partial 16S ribosomal RNA". It matches the Rfam family "Bacterial small subunit ribosomal RNA", at positions 524 to 776 of the family's 1533-position model. The record is from RNAcentral.